CACCUAUAUGGCAACUUCAGAAAGUGGAAUAUCCCAGCAACCAUAGGGUUUACAGUCAUGAAACUUCACACGCUAGUAGCUGAUAACAAUACAAAUCAGUGGCUAAAAGGAUAUUUCCAAGGCGAUGAAUUCCAUAUGUCAGUAGGAAUUUAGAAUCGUACAACCAGUCAGCAGCUACCCAUAAACCAGACCAACCUAUUAAGUCGAGCGGGCAGAAGCUGUGAUUCCCAGUGUAACACCGCAGAAUGACGGCUAGUUUUCGGAUUACAUUUCUGUGCGGAAGGAUUAAAAAACUACACCAGACUGGUGGCCAUGACAGAUGUCAGUGGGAAAUUUAAACAUGGACUAGAUACUUUGAUGUGUAGCAAAAAAGUUCAUCGUUGAUGGUGGUGUUUUUCUGUGAUAUAUUGACUGGGAUAAUAUUACUCUUCAGAAAUACAGAGCUGUCAAUGCU
Molecule: long non-coding RNA, 454 nt
Organism: Mercenaria mercenaria
Lineage: Eukaryota; Metazoa; Mollusca; Bivalvia; Venerida; Veneridae
Exons: 3
Source: RefSeq, a predicted model, not a curated record